CCUACGGGAGGCAGCAGUCGAGAAUCAUUCACAAUGGGGGAAACCCUGAUGGUGCGACGCCGCGUGGGGGAAUGAAGGUCUUCGGAUUGUAAACCCCUGUCAUGUGGGAGCAAAUUAAAAAGAUAGUACCACAAGAGGAAGAGACGGCUAACUCUGUGCCAGCAGCCGCGGUAAUACAGAGGUCUCAAGCGUUGUUCGGAAUCACUGGGCGUAAGGCGUGCGUAGGCUGUUUCGUAAGUCGUGUGUGAAAGGCGCGGGCUCAACCCGCGGACGGCACAUGAUACUGCGAGACUAGAGUAAUGGAGGGGGAACCGGAAUUCUCGGUGUAGCAGUGAAAUGCGUAGAUAUCGAGAGGAACACUCGUGGCGAAGGCGGGUUCCUGGACAUUAACUGACGCUGAGGCACGAAGGCCAGGGGAGCGAAAGGGAGUAGAUACCCCAGUAGUC
This 446-nucleotide ribosomal RNA is filed under the name uncultured bacterium. Its description in RNAcentral is "partial 16S ribosomal RNA". It matches the Rfam family "Bacterial small subunit ribosomal RNA", at positions 338 to 795 of the family's 1533-position model. The record is from RNAcentral.